AGUCGAGCGAGAAGCUACCUUCGGGUAGUGGACAGCGGCGCACGGGUGAGUAACGCGUACACAAUCUACCUUAUAGAGGAGAAUAGCCCUGGGAAACUGGGAUUAAUGCUCCAUAGUAUUACACUUUGGCAUCAAGGUGUAAUUAAAGCUCCGGCGCUAUAAGAUGAGUGUGCGUACUAUUAGCUAGUUGGUAAGGUAACGGCUUACCAAGGCUACGAUAGUUAGGGGGCGUGAGAGCGUGACCCCCACACGGGUACUGAGACACGGACCCGACUCCUACGGGAGGCAGCAGUAAGGAAUAUUGGACAAUGGGCGCAAGCCUGAUCCAGCCAUCCCGCGUGGAGGAUGACUGCCCUAUGGGUUGUAAACUCCUUUUAUUUGAGAAGAAACGCCUGGAUUUAUCCGGGCCUGACGGUAUCUUAUGAAUAAGCACCGGCUAACUCCGUGCCAGCAGCCGCGGUAAUACGGAGGGUGCAAGCGUUAUCCGGAAUCACUGGGUUUAAAGGGUGCGUAGGUGGUUUAGUAAGUCAGAUGUGAAAGCCCGGCGCUCAACGUCGGAAUUGCAUUUGAUACUGCUGAACUUGAAUCAGGUUGAGGUGGGCGGAAUGUGGCAUGUAGCG
Molecule: ribosomal RNA, 620 nt
Filed under: uncultured bacterium
Lineage: Bacteria
Description: bacterial SSU rRNA
Rfam family: Bacterial small subunit ribosomal RNA
Source: RNAcentral